ACUCAGUGGCGGACGGGUGAGUAACGCGUGAGUAACCUGCCUUUCAGAGGGGGAUAACGUUCUGAAAAGAACGCUAAUACCGCAUAAGAUUGUAGUUUCGCAUGGAGCAGCAAUCAAAGGAGCAAUCCGCUGAAAGAUGGACUCGCGUCCGAUUAGAUAGUUGGCGGGGUAACGGCCCACCAAGUCGACGAUCGGUAGCCGGACUGAGAGGUUGAUCGGCCACAUUGGGACUGAGACACGGCCCAGACUCC
RNAcentral lists this ribosomal RNA (251 nucleotides) under uncultured Oscillospiraceae bacterium. RNAcentral describes it as "partial 16S ribosomal RNA". It matches the Rfam family "Bacterial small subunit ribosomal RNA", at positions 90 to 339 of the family's 1533-position model. Lineage: Bacteria; Bacillati; Bacillota; Clostridia; Eubacteriales; Oscillospiraceae. The record is from RNAcentral.